AUGUUACUAAGGAUAAUAAAGGAUAAGAGGGUGUAUAUAAUGUUACGUUCGCGGGCGAGAACGAACAAAAAUGUGUUUCUGCAUCUUCAUCGUUUACGCUCGUUGCCCUCCUUGACCAGACACAGCGACACGCGCUGGCCAAGGAGGCUUUCUUGUAUUUGGAAUAACUUCUUCUUAGUCUUGAAAGUUCUUCAACAACAACAAUU
RNAcentral lists this long non-coding RNA (206 nucleotides) under Paramuricea clavata. The record is from RNAcentral. Lineage: Eukaryota; Metazoa; Cnidaria; Anthozoa; Malacalcyonacea; Plexauridae.